CCUACGGGCGGCAGCAGUGGGGAAUAUUGGACAAUGGGCGAAAGCCUGAUCCAGCCAUGCCGCGUGUGUGAAGAAGGCCUUCGGGUUGUAAAGCACUUUCAGUGGGGAAGAAAGCCUUGGGGCUAAUACCCUCGAGGAAGGACAUCACCCACAGAAGAAGCACCGGCUAACUCCGUGCCAGCAGCCGCGGUAAUACGGAGGGUGCGAGCGUUAAUCGGAAUUACUGGGCGUAAAGCGCGCGUAGGCGGUCUGAUAAGCCGGUUGUGAAAGCCCCGGGCUCAACCUGGGAACGGCAUCCGGAACUGUCAGGCUAGAGUGCAGGAGAGGAAGGUAGAAUUCCCGGUGUAGCGGUGAAAUGCGUAGAGAUCGGGAGGAAUACCAGUGGCGAAGGCGGCCUUCUGGACUGACACUGACGCUGAGGUGCGGAAGCGUGGGUAGCAAACAGGAUUAGAUACCCCGGUAGUC
Molecule: ribosomal RNA, 465 nt
Filed under: Vreelandella stevensii
Lineage: Bacteria; Pseudomonadati; Pseudomonadota; Gammaproteobacteria; Oceanospirillales; Halomonadaceae
Description: partial 16S ribosomal RNA
Rfam family: Bacterial small subunit ribosomal RNA
Source: RNAcentral